CAAGGAAUUUUCCGCAAUGGGCGAAAGCCUGACGGAGCAACGCCGCGUGUGGGAUGACGCGUUUCGGCGUGUAAACCACUGUUCAUGGGGACGAAGCACUGACGGUACCCAUGGAGGAAGGCCCGGCUAACUACGUGCCAGCAGCCGCGGUAAUACGUAGGGGUCGAGCGUUGUCCGGAGUUACUGGGCGUAAAGCGCGCGCAGGUGGCUCAUUACGCCCGGCGUGAAAGCCCCCGGCCUAACCGGGGAAAGUCGUCGGGUACGGGUGAGCUUGAGGGUAUCAGGGGCAGGUAGAAUUCCCGGUGUAGUGGUGAAAUGCGUAGAGAUCGGGAGGAAUACCCGUGGCGAAGGCGGCCUGCUGGGAUACACCUGACACUGAGGCGCGAAGGCGUGGGGAGCGAACG
This 404-nucleotide ribosomal RNA is filed under the name uncultured bacterium. RNAcentral's name for it is "bacterial SSU rRNA". It matches the Rfam family "Bacterial small subunit ribosomal RNA", at positions 355 to 774 of the family's 1533-position model. The record is from RNAcentral.